RNAcentral lists this long non-coding RNA (39948 nucleotides) under Triticum aestivum (bread wheat). RNAcentral describes it as "long non-coding RNA (TAES_LNC019625)". The record is from RNAcentral. Lineage: Eukaryota; Viridiplantae; Streptophyta; Magnoliopsida; Poales; Poaceae.
GACUGGAUUCAGGAACUCGCUGCCGAGCACGCUCGUCGAGUCUGUGCUGGAGAUUCUCCAGUCGAGUGCGCUCAGCCAAGUUGGCCAGGCGCACCUCCUCCAAGGCCCGGGCCUCGGGGGUUUCUCCAAUGAUAGGAGUGUGAAGUGCAUCCAUGUUACGGCGGCGAAGCUCUUCCCUCUGCUGUGAAGAGAGGGGCCCGGGGCGGUACUCCUCAAGUGCAUGCGACGGAUCGCCUCCGUCAUCACCACCAUCGUCGCGGGGGAAGCCAGGAGGACUGCGCGGUCCGUUGACCAUCAAGACUUCCACCGCAGGGUCACUGCUGUCGCACUCAGAUGCGGUCUCAACGGAGCCAGUCGAACAGGCCGUAGAGAGUUUCGUCGGGCUCGAUUGCCGCGACUUGAGGGGUGGCCGACUGGCGAGCCACCGCGUGCUUCACCCACCGCUGGAGCCUCGACCGACCGGAACGCUUGUGCCGGCGGGCUGCAGAGAGUGAAGACGCCACAUGAGCCGACCGAUACUGGGUCGACGGCUGCCGCAGGAGGACGCCGCGGACGCACGCGCGAAAGUGCGUUGCCCCGCGGACGGGGGGCGCCUCGACGUCGAGUGGAGCCUCUUGGAGCCAAGCGGAGUCGUCGGCGACGAACACGAGCGCGCCGAGACGGAUCUCGUGGCCCUCGGUCAAUCCUCCGCCUGAAACCAUGCUAAUGGGGAUCAGAAAAAUUGCAACUUCUCCAACAAGUCGCUAAAACACCUGCCCCAUGGUGGGCGCCAACUGUCGUGGUUCUAAGUCUAACUGUAGAAUGGGGGUAGGGAUGUAAAGGCAAGGUCCUAGCUAUGGAGAAGCUGUACGCAUGAGUUUUACGAGUUCAGGCCCUUCUCGGAGGAAGUAACAGCCCUACGUCUCGGAGCCCGGAGGCGGCCGACUGGAUCAUAUGCGUGUGUAUUACAGGGGGUCCGAACCCUUGGGCCAGUGGAGGGGAUGGCUUAUAUAGAGUGCGCCAGGACCCCAGCCAGCCCACGUUACAAGGAGUUCAAUGUUCAUAAAGAAGGAGCGUUACAGGUAACGUCUGUAGUAAAGUAAUAUAAAUGACUAUUAAGUCUAAGAGUAAAUGCCCGACCGUUGCUGCGCGGAGUGGCUUUAGGUCUUCUGCACGUCGAGUGGUUUAGUGGUCGAGUGACAUAAACAUGGGGGGUCGUCGAGUGAAUGGUAGGUCGAGUGGAUUGCAUUCGACACCUUUGUUGGGUCCCCUCUAUUUACUCCUGAACCUCUUUGCUUCUAGGACAAGGACCUUAGGUAGGAGGUAUAGGUCAGGCCUAUUACCCUACCCCAGGUCUAUGUCCUCAUCAGCUGUUGCUCCAUCUCCUAUUCGGAGGACUGCACAAUCUCCUCCUUGUUCAUCGGGGCGGCACCACACGAUCAGCCUCGAAAGGCUGAUCCACCGGCUGGCACCAAAAACCAGCUGCUCUACCCGGACUUGGUCAUCGUUGUUGUGUAGAGGGGAGGAGCGACAACGGUGGUGAGCGGAGAGGAGAGCAAUCGGGCGGCGGGGCGUGGAGAGGAAAUAAGAUGCGUUUUGGCUGAUGCCGGCGCGCUGCUUCAAUAGUCAAGGCAUGCGGAACGACAUCGCUUCAAUGUGGCACAACGGUUUGAGUAGGCUUCUCAGGCAGCGCGUUCGCAUUGAAGCGGCGCCGCCCUUCCGUCCGGUCAAGUUGCUCGGCAGCGGCUGCAUCAGUUGCAUCCGCUCUGGAAUGGCUGACUGACAUGAAUGUGUGACGAUGUUUCGAGAGCAGGAGGCGUGGCAAUGAGUUUUGGUGGGACCGCAUAGUCAGACGCGUACAUGGCAUGAGUCUAGACACCCGCAAACUUCCCCAGAUUUGAUGCCAGUUUACGGGAAUUCAGAUGCCACAGAUCAUAUGGCACUAUGUUGGAUGGCAAAAUUGGUGUGGACUUAGAGCAACUCCAACGCGCUGACCCAAACGGACGGCGAUUUCGUCCGCUUUUUGUCCGUUUGGGUCGGCCAGACGGACACGAAUGCCCGCUUCCGCAUUUGGGUCAGCGCGUGCGCCCAACGCUGGCCUGAGACCCAUUUUGACGGCGCCAAAAAAAAUGAACGCAUGCAUAUUAAAAAAAGAGAAACAGCAUUAAUUAAACAUUAAAGCCGGCCACGAAGGCCGGCGAGAGUCCACGCGUCCACAUUUGCAUUUAAAAAAACAGCCUAAACUACGAGGCGGCGCGCUGCCCUAGGCGUCGUCGUCAUCGUCCUCGGGGUCCGUGAGGUCGAUGAGCAUCGGCGCCGGCCCAGCCCAGGCGAACGCCGUGUUCCAGAGCGCCAUCAUGUCGGGCUGUGCCGGCGCAGGCAGUGCCGGGGCGGGGGGGGGGGUGUGCGGCCGCCUGUGCAGCCGCGGCCUGGCGCGCCUCCUCCUCGGCCUCGCGCUGCUCCUCCUCGAGGUCGCGCUCGAGCAUCUCCUCGUACUCGCCGCGACGGCGCUCCUCUGCCAGCCGGCGCUAGCGCCACAUCUCAAGGUACGCCUGCUCCUGCGCCGGCGUCGUCCCCAGCCAAACCGGUGGCGCGGACACCCACUCGUGCACCACUCCCCUCCAGGGGAAGAGCGCGAUGGGCUCGGGCUCCGGCUGCGGCUCCGGCUUGAUGGGGGACGGCGGGGCCACCGGCGGCACCACGCUGUCGCCCGCCGCGGAGAGGGCAAGGGCCUGCGCCAUUACCGCCUCGUACCGGGCCUCCUCUUCCGCCUCCGCCGCCUCUGCUCUGCGCCGCUCGUCCUCCUUCGCUCUCCCGGUAGACGGCCGCAAGGGCCGCCUGGUAGGCGUCCUCCACCGCCUGGUCCUCCUUGCGGACGACGAGCGGCGUUGGCUGUUGGGGAACGUAGUAAUUUCAAAAAAAAUCCUACACACACGCAAGAUCAUGGUGAUGCAUAGCAACGAGAGGGGAGAGUGUUUUCCACGUACCCUCGUAGACCGAAAGCGGAAGCGUUAGCACAACGCGGUUGAUGUAGUCGUAUGUCUUCAGGAUCCGACCGAUCAAGUACCGAACGCACGGCACCUCCGAGUUCAGCACACGUUCAGCCCGAUGACGUCCCUCGAACUCCGAUCCAGCCGAGUGUUGAGGGAGAGUUUCGUCAGCACGACGGCGUGGUGACGAUGAUGAUGUUCUACCGACGCAGGGCUUCGCCUAAGCACCGCUACAGUAUUAUCGAGGUGGACUAUGGUGGAGGGGGGCACCGCACACGGCUAAAAGAUUAAACGAUCAAUUGUUGUGUCUAGGGUGCCCCCUGCCCCUGUAUAUAAAGGAGCAAGGGGGAGGUGCGGCCGGCCAGGAGGAGGCACGCCAGGAGGAGUCCUACUCCCACCGGGAGUAGGACUCCCUCCCUUCCUUGUUGGACUAGGAGAGGAGAGGGAAGGAGAGAGGGGGAAAGGAAAGGGGGGCGCCGCCCCCCUCCUUGUCCAAUUCGGACUUGGGGGGGAGGGGCGCGUGGCUGCCCCUUGGCCGCCUCUUCUCUUCCACCAAUUGGGCCCAUGAGACCCAAUAGCCUCCGGGGGGUUCCGGUAACCCCCCGGUACUCCGGUAUUUAUCCGAUAACCCCCGGAACCAUUCCGGUGUCCGAAUAUAGUCAUCCAAUAUAUCAAUCUUCAUGUCUCGACCAUUUCGAGACUCCUCGUCAUGUCUGUGAUCACAUCCGGGACUCCGAACAACCUUUCGUACAUCAAAACAUAUAAACUCAUAAUAUAACUGUCAUCGAAACGUUAAGCGUGCGGACCCUACGGGUUCGAGAACUAUGUAGACAUGACCGAGACACGUCUCCGGUCAAUAACCAAUAGCGGAACCUGGAUGCUCAUAUUGGCUCCAAAAUAUUCUACGAAGAUCUUUAUCGGUCAGACCGCAUAACAACAUACGUUGUUCCCUUUGUCAUCGGUAUGUUACUUGCCCGGGAUUCGAUCGUCGGUAUCUCAAUACCUAGUUCAAUCUCGUUACCGGCAAGUCUGUUUACUCGUUCCGUAAUACAUCAUCCCACAACUAACUCAUUAGUUGCAAUGCUUGCAAGGCUUAAGUGAUGUGCAUUACCGAGAGGGCCCAGAGAUACCUCUCCGACAAUCGGAGUGACAAAUCCUAAUCUCGAAAUACGCCAACCCAACAAGUACCUUUGGAGACACCUGUAGAGCACCUUUAUAAUCACCCAGUUACGUUGUGACAUUUGGUAGCACACAAAGUGUUCCUCCGGUAAACAGGAGUUGCAUAAUCUCAUAGUCAUAGGAACAUGUAUAAGUCAUGAAGAAAGCAAUAGCAACAUACUAAAGAUCGAGUGCUAAGCUAACGGAAUGGGUCAAGUCAAUCACAUCAUUCUCCUAAUGAUGUGAUCCAAUUAAUCAAAUGACAACUCAUGUCUAUGGCUAGGAAACAUAACUAUCUUUGAUCAAUGAGCUAGUCAAGUAGAGGCAUACUAGUGACACUCUGUUUGUCUAUGUAUUCACACAAGUAUUAUGUUUCCGGUUAAUACAAUUCUAGCAUGAAUAAUAAACAUUUAUCAUGAUAUAAGGAAAUAAAUAAUAACUUUAUUAUUGCCUCUAGGGCAUAUUUCCUUCAGUCUCCCACUUGCACUAGAGUCAAUAAUCUAGAUUACACAGUAAUGAUUCUAACACCCAUGGAGCCUUGGUGCUGAUCAUGUUUUGCUCGUGGAAGAGGCUUAGUCAACGGGUCUGCAACAUUCAGAUCCAUAUGUAUCUUGCAAAUUUCUAUGUCUCCCACCUGGACCAAAUCCCGGAUGGAAUUGAAGCGUCUCUUGAUGUGCUUGGUUCUCUUGUGAACUCUGGAUUCCUUCGCCAAGGCAAUUGCACCAGUAUUGUCACAAAAGAUUUUCAUUGGACCCGAUGCACUAGGUAUGACACCUAGAUCGGAUAUGAACUCCUUCAUCUAGACUCCUUCAUUUGUUGCUUCCGAAGCAGCUAUGUACUCCGCUUCACAUGUAGAUCCCGCCACGACGCUUUGUUUAGAACUGCACCAACUGACAGCUCCACCGUUCAAUGUAAACACGUAUCCGGUUUGCGAUUUAGAAUCGUCCGGAUCAGUGUCAAAGCUUGUAUCAACGUAACCAUUUACGAUGAGCUCUUUGUCACCUCCAUAAACGAGAAACAUAUCCUUAGUCCUUUUCAGGUAUUUCAGGAUGUUCUUGACUGCUGUCCAGUGAUCCACUCCUGGAUUACUUUGGUACCUCCCUGCUAGACUUAUAGCAAGGCACACAUCAGGUCUAGUACACAGCAUUGCAUACAUGAUAGAGCCUAUGGCUGAAGCAUAGGGAACAUCUUUCAUUUUCUCUCUAUCUUCUGAAGUGGUCAGGCAUUGAGUCUUACUCAACUUCAGACCUUGUAACAUAGGCAAGAACCCUUUCUUUGCUUGAUCCAUUUUGAACUUCUUCAAAACUUUGUCAAGGUAUGUGCUUUGUGAAAGUCCAAUUAAGCGUCUUGCUCUAUCUCUAUAGAUCUUAAUGCCCAAUAUAUACGCAGCUUCACCGAGGUCUUCCAUUGAAAAACUCUUAUUCAAGUAUCCCUUUAUGCUAUUCAGAAAUUAUAUAUCAUUUCCAAUCAGCAAUAUGUCAUCCACAUAUAAUAUUAGAAAUGCUACAGAGCUCCCACUUACUUUCUUGUAAAUACAGGCUUCUCCCAAAGUCUGUACAAAUCCAAAUGCUUUGAUCACACUAUCAAAGCGUUUAUUCCAACUCCGAGAGGCGUGCACCAGUCCAUAAAUGGAUAGCUGGAGCUUGCACACUUUGUUAGCUCCCUUUGGAUUGACAAAACCUUCCAGUUGCAUUUGCCAAAUUCCAUUCAGGAAUGCAGUUUUGACAUCCAUUUGCCAAAUUUCAUAAUCAUAAAAUGCGGCAAUUGCUAACAUGAUUCGAACAGACUUAAGCAUCGCUACGGGUGAGAAGGUCUCAUCGUAGUCAAUCCCUUGAACUUGUCGAAAACCUUUUGCAACAAGUCAAUCUUUAUAGACAGUAACAUUACCGUCAGCGUCAGUCUUCUUCUUGAAGAUCCAUUUAUUCUCAAUGGCUUGCCGAUCAUCGGGCAAGUCAACCAAAGUCCACACUUUGUUCUCAUACAUGGAUCCCAUCUCAGAUUUCAUGGCCUCAAGCCAUUUUGCGGAAUCUGGGCUCCCCAUCGCUUCUUCAUAGUUCAUAGGUUCGUCAUGGUCAAGUAACAUAACCUCCAGAACAGGAUUACCGUACCACUCUGGUGCGGAUCUUACUCUGGUUGACCUACGAGGUUCAGUAACAACUUGAUCUGAAGUUCCAUGAUCAUCAUCAUUAACUUCCUCACUAAAUUGUGUAGGCAUCGCAGAAACCGGUUUCCUGCGAUGAACUACUUUCCAAUAAGGGAGCAGGUACAAUUACCUCAUCAAGUUCUACUUUCCUCCCACUCACUUCUUUCGAGAGAAACUCCUUCUCCAGAAAGAUUCGAAUUUAGCAACAGAAGUCUUGCCUCCGGAUCUGUGAUAGAAGGUGUACCCAACAGUCUCCUUUGGGUAUCCUAUGAAGACACAUUUCUCCGAUUUGGGUUCGAGCUUAUCAGGUUGAAGUUUUUUCACAUAAGCAUUGCAGCCCCAAACUUUAACAAACGACAACUUUGGUUUCUUGCCAAACCACAGUUCAUAAGGCGUCAUCUCAACGGAUUUUGAUGGUGCCCUAUUUAACGUGAAUGCGGCCGUCUCUAAAGCAUAACCCCAAAACGAUAGCGGUAAAUCAGUAAGAGACAUCAUAGAUCGCACCAUAUCUAGUAGAGUACGAUUACGACGUUCGGACACACCAUUACGCUGUGGUGUUCCGGGUGGCGUGAGUUGCGAAACUAUUCCGCAUUGUUUCAAAUGAAGACCAAACUCAUAGCUCAAAUAUUCUCCUCCACGAUCAGAUCGUAGAAACUUUAUUUUCUUGUUACAAUGAUUUUCAACUUCACUCUGAAAUUCUUUGAACUUUUCAAAUGUUUCAGACUUAUGUUUCAUUAAGUAGAUAUACCCAUAUCUGCUUAAAUCAUCUGUGAAGGUGAGAAAAUAACGAUAUCCGCCACGAGCCUCAACAUUCAUCGGACCACAUACAUCUGUAUGUAUGAUUUCCAACAAAUCUGUUGCUCUCUCCAUAGUUCCGGAGAACAGCGUUUUAGUCAUCUUGCCCAUGAGGCACGGUUCGCAAGUACCAAGUGAUUCAUAAUCAAGUGGUUCCAAAAGUACAUCAGUAUGGAGUUUCUUCAUGCGCUUUACACCGAUAUGACCUAAACGGCAGUGCCACAAAUAAGUUGCACUAUCAUUAUCAACUCUGCAUCUUUUGGCUUCAAUACUAUGAAUAUGUGUAUCACUACUAUCGAGAUUCAACAAAAAUAGACCACUCUUCACCGGUGCAUGACCAUAAAAGAUAUUAUUCAUAUAAAUAGAACAACCAUUAUUCUCUGAUUUAAAUGAAUAACCGUCUCGCAUCAAACAAGAUCCAGAUAUAAUGUUCAUGCUUAACGCUGGCACCAAAUAACAAUUAUUUAGGUCUGAAACUAAUCCCGAAGGUAGAUGUAGAGGUAGCGUGCCGACCGCGAUUACAUCGACUUUGGAACCAUUUCCCACGCGCAUCGUCACCUCGUCCUUAGCCAAUCUUCGCAUAAUCCGUAGCCCCUAUUUCGAGUUGCAAAUAUUAGCAACAGAACCAGUAUCAAAUACCCAGGUGCUACUGCGAGCAUUAGUAAGGUACACAUCAAUAACAUGUAUAUCACAUAUACCUUUGUUCACCUUGCCAUCCUUCUUAUCCGCCAAAUACUUGGGGCAGUUCCGCUUCCAGUGACCAGUCUGCUUGUAGUAGAAGCACUCAGUCUCAGGCUUAGGUCCAGACUUGGGUUUCUUCUCCUGAACAGCAACUUGCUUGAUGUUCUUCUUGAAGUUCCCCUUCUUCUUCCCUUUGCCCUUUUUCUUGAAACUGGUGGUCUUAUUGACCAUCAAUACUUGAUGCUCCUUUUUGAUUUCUACCUCCGCAGCCUUUAGCAUUGCGAAGAGCUCGGGAAUCGCCUUAUCCAUCCCUUGCAUGUUAUAGUUCAUCACGAAGCUCUUGUAGCUUGGUGGCAGUGAUUGGAGAAUUCUAUCAAUGACGCUAUCAUCCGGAAGAUUAACUCCCAGUUGAAUCAAGUGAUUAUUAUACCCAGACAUUUUGAGUAUAUGCUCACUGACAGGACUAUUCUCCUCCAUCUUGCAGCUGUAGAACUUAUUGGAGACUUCAUAUCUCUCAAUUCGGGCAUUUGCUUGAAAUAUUAACUUCAACUCCUGGAACAUCUCAUAUGCUCCAUGACGUUCAAAAUGUCGUUGAAGUCCCGGUUCUAAGCCGUAAAGCAUGGCACGUUGAACUAUCGAGUAGUCAUCAGCUUUGCUCUGCCAGACGUUCUUAACGUCGUCAGUUGCAUCAGCAGCAGGCCUGGCACCCAGCGGUGCUUCCAGGACAUAAUUCUUCUGUGCAGCAAUGAGGAUAAUCCUCAAGUUACGGACCCAGUCCGUGUAAUUGCUACAAUCAUCUUUCAACUUUUCUUUCUCAAGAAACGCAUUAAAAUUCAACGGAACAACAGCACGGGCCAUCUAUCUACAAUCAACAUAGACAAGCAAGAUACUAUCAGGUACUAAGUUCAUGAUAAAUUUCAGUUCAAUUAAUCAUAUUACUUAAGAACUCCCACUUAGAUAGACAUCCCUCUAAUCCUCUAAGUGAUCACGUGAUCCAUAUCAACUAAACCAUGUCCGAUCAUCACGUGAGAUGGAGUAGUUUCAACGGUGAACAUCACUAUGUUGAUCAUAUCUACUAUAUGAUUCACGCUCGACCUUUCGGUCUCUGUGUUCCGAGGCCACAUCUGUUAUAUGCUAGGCUCGUCAAGCUUAACCUGAGUAUUCCGCGUGUGCAAAUGUUUUGCACCCGUUGUAUUUGAACGUAGAGCCUAUCACACCCGAUCAUCACGUGGUGUCUCAGCACGAAGAACUUUCGCAACGGUGCAUACUCAGGGCGAACACUUAUACUUUGAUAAUUUAGUGAGGGAUCAUCUUAUAAUGCUACCAUCAAUCAAAGCAAGAUAAGAUGUAUAAAAGAUAAACAUCACAUGCAAUCAAUAUAAGUGAUAUGAUAUGGCCAUCAUCAUCUUGUGCUUGUAAUCUGCAUCUCCGAAGCACCGUCAUGAUCACCAUCGUCACCGGCGCGACACCUUGAACUUUAUCGUAGCAUCGUUGUCGUCUCGCCAAUCUUAUGCUUCUACGACUAUCGCUACCGCUUAGUAAUAAAGUAAAGCAUUACAGGGCGAUUGCAUUGCAUACAAUAAAGCGACAACCAUAUGGCUCCUGCCAGUUGCCGAUAACUCGGUUACAAAACAUGAUCAUCUCAUACAAUAGAAUUUAGCAUCAUGUCUUGACCAUAUCACAUCACAACAUGCCCUGCAAAAACAAGUUAGACGUCCUCUACUUUGUUGUUGCAAAUUUUACGUGGCUGCUACGGGCUUAGCAAGAACCGUUCUUACCUACGCAUCAAAACCACAAUGAUAGUUUGUCAAGUUGGUGCUGUUUUAACCUUCGCAAGGACCGGGCGUAGCCACACUCGGUUCAACUAAAGUUGGAGAAACUGACACCCGCCAGCCACCUGUGUGCAAAGCACGUCGGUAGAACCAGUCUCGCGUAAGCGUACACGUAAUGUCGGUCCGGGCCGCUUCAUCCAACAAUACCGCCGAACCAAAGUAUGACAUGCCGGUAAGCAGUAUGACUUAUAUCGCCCACAACUCACUUGUGUUCUACUCGUGCAUAUAACAUCAACGCAUAAACCUGGCUCGGAUGCCACUGUUGGGGAACGUAGUAAUUUCAAAAAAAUUCCUAUGCACCCGCAAGAUCAUGGUGAUGCAUAGCAACGAGAGGGGAGAGUGUUGUCCACGUACCCUCGUAGACCGAAAGCGGAAGCGUUAGCACAACGUGGUUGAUGUAGUCGUACGUCUUCACGAUCCGACCGAUCAAGUAUCGAACGCACGGCACCUCCGAGUUCAGCACACGUUCAGCCCGAUGACGUCCCUCGAACUCCGAUCCAGCCGAGUGUUGAGGGUGAGUUUCGUCAGCACGACGGCGUGGUGACGAUGAUGAUGUUCUACCAACGCAGGGCUUUGCCUAAGCACCGCUACAGUAUUAUCGAGGUGGACUAUGAUGGAGGGGGGCACCGCACACGGCUAAAAGAUCAAACGAUCAAUUGUUGUGUCUAGGGUGCCCCCUGCCCCCGUAUAUAAAGGAGCAAGGGGGGAGGUGUAGCCGGCCAGGAGGAGGCGCGCCAGGAGGAGUCCUACUCCCACCGGGAGUAGGACUCCCUCCCUUGUUGGACUAGGAGAAGAGAUGGAAGGAGAGAGGGGGAAAGGAAAGGGGGGGCGCCGCCCCCCUCCUUGUCCAAUUCGGACUUGGGGGGAGGGGCGCGCGGCUGCCCCUUGGCCACCCCGUCGCCUCGCCUCCUCGUGCUCGAAGGCGAACCACCUCGCCCAGUUGGGCGAGUCGGUUGCGUAGGCCUUGUCGAGGCGCUGCUCCGGCGUCAGCAGCGCCCGCCGACGCCGCACCUCCUCCGCGUGAGCACGAGCCGUCCGCGGCGCCGCCGGCACUGGGAUCCUAUCUGGAUCCAGAUGCCAGUCAUGCGGCAGCGUCACGCCCGGAUACGACAGAGGCUGGCGGUUCUGCCAGUGCUACUCCGCCUGGUGCACUGGCACGUUCACGCGCUGCCUCUGCCAGCGAGGCGCCGACGGAGGUGGGAGGAACUCUGAGGGGAAAGGGGUGGCGGGGGACUUGCCCUUGGCCUUGCUGCCGCUGGCGCUGGAGAAGAGGCCCAUCUCGCUGUGGUUGUGGUGGCUAGGGUUUGCCGGCGACGAGGGAGCAAAGGUGGGCAGAUGUGGACGCCGAGUUUGGAUGAGGAUGGCCCCGUCGCACGGUCGGCUUAAAAAAGGACGAGCGCCGUCGCUGACCCGUGGGCCCGUCGUCAUAAAUUAAGCUGACCGCAUGGGCAGCGACUAGUUGGACGGCCGCCAUGUGGGGACGCGGUGGACAGUGAGAAGGCGCGCGAAGCGUCCGUUCGGCGUCCGCGCCGACGCAGUUGGGGCGCAAAUUUGGGCCGCAAAUGCGUCGGCGCGGACGCGACGCGGACGUGAUUUGGGUUUGGGUCGGCGCGUUGGGUCGCCACUUUUGUCCGCACCGACCCAAACGGACGCAGACGGAUAAAAUGGGUCGGCCCUUUGUAGCUGCUCUUACCAUGGUCCGAAGCUUUGACCCGGAGGAAUGCUGAAGCCAACGUCUGAGGGGACAUGCAGUGCACGACGUGUGGAGUGGAUCACGAGAAAGGUGCAGCUAUAGCUAAGCCUAGCUAGCUACCAGAAAAUCUGGACGGGACAUCAUGGCACGCCCCAGGCGGAUCUCUUCUUGAUGUGAUGGUUUCUGCCCAUGGAUCCAUGAUGAAAAUUGUUUGUGUGUAUAGUAGAUUACAUGCCGUCACGUAGUAGACUGUUGGUAGAUUUGGUGGUUGGAGUUUUUCACUUCUUUUUUCUACACGUACAGAAACGAGAGUUAAAAUAGGGUGUCUCAUCUACACGUACAGAACUGGACAGUGGACUGCGAGACAAAGUAGACCAAAAAUUUAAGAUGGGGGAUCCGUUCCAGUACGACCACACCACUUGAUAGUACGUGUUUGAUGCCUUGUUACUUGAUUAGGCCAUGCACGCCUUGUACUUUCAGGGCUGCGCAAUUGGAUCCUACCUUGCACAAAAUGAUUGGUUCUAUAAACGUCUGUAAUCCUACACUACAGUGACAUAACUCAGAGAGAGAGAGAGAGAGACGCAUGCAUGUUUCUCAUGGCUCACGCACAAGGUUGCAGCCUUGUCCUAGCGGCCGGUAUACAACAAAGAUGCCUCCCUCCACCGCUUUACUUUUUGCGUGGGCAGGAACGACAAACAUCACAUCACAUUGCUAACGGUUGAGUAACGUGAUUGUAUUAGGAAACAUAGGUAGACUAGGAAAUAUUCUGGCUUGUCUUGUAUUCCAAAUAGAUCAUGCACUCCUAUAUAUAGGGAAGAUAUCUGAUGCUCCGGAAGCUUCUCAACCGUUGGAUCUAUAAUCUGGAGGUCAUCUAGGGAUGCGCUGGAUCUGGUUGUAAUAACAAACUUCUAGGUGUGUUUUUUGAAUAAAUGCGCGAGCUCUCUCUAUGGCCUUUGGAUUUUAGAUCCAACGGCAGAGAAGCUCCCGGAGCACCUAAGUUUAGGUGCUCCCGGAGCACCAGAUAUCUUCCCCUAUAUAUAUGCCCACGAGGCUCAAGCAAUACAACGAACUAUUCUACCAAUCCUGUCUUGCCCUUCUAACAUGGUAUCUAUUGCAAGUCGAUCCUAAACCCUAGCCGCCGCCGCUUCCGCACCCACGCGCCGCACCCGGGGCGGUCGGCCUCCAUGACCGCCGCCAGGGGCCGCGCCGCCUGUACCUAGGGUUCGUCCGCCGGUCGUGUUGACUGGCUGCCCUAGAGAGUAUUUUCCCCGAGCCUUGCUCCGGGGUUUUCUCUCUCCCGCCGGUCAUCUUGAUCGUGCGGUUUCUUUCUGGUUUUCCGAUCUAUUCUUGAUCGGUUUGCGUCACCCACCGCAGCCGUCGACCCCGAGCGCCUCUACUCCGACCCCGGCGCAACCAGCUGGCCUCUCCUCCUAUCCGACGCCAGCGCGCGCCGAGGCGGCCCGUCAGGGCCAACCGUCGUCCGCGCGUCGGUCCGCCCGUCGCCCUGCGCCGGCCGUCACCGCCCUGCUCCGACCGGGACACCUGCAUCGCCCCGACCCGGCAGCCUCGCGCCAUGCGACGGCCAAUCGUAGCCGUCGCUUGCGCGCCGGCCCGCCCAUCGAUCCACAUCACCCGCCGCGUCUACACGGCGGCCCGGCGGUCUACCUCGUCGGCCUCAUCCACGGCUGCGUCGGGACGGCUGCGUCAGGCUCAUCGGCUGCCUCAACUCGGGCGCCGCUGCUCCGUUGGUCGCUCGGGCCUGGCUGCCUGGGCGUCGGCGUUGCUUUGGCAGCCCGGGUGCCGGUGCUGACAAACUCGUCUGCACGACGUCCCACGCCGUCUGUCGUUCCCGGCUUCAUCUCGGACUCCGCCGCCACCACGCCUUCACCGAGCGGCGUCCCCGACCUCGCGCGCGAUCGGCUUGAUCACCCGCUCGCCACCGCGAUCCGCCUCAUCUACGCCGCGCGACCGACCUGGCCCGUCGGUUACGCGCGCCUCAACAGGUCCCGUGAAGACCGUCCCCGAGUUCAGCGCGCCUCUCCAUCGAUCGAGCAUCAGGCUGUCGCUGCAUCGCCCCGUGGUUCUCCUCGCGAUUGCAUCGACUCGUGCGUCACCGCUGCGUCGCCUCUUCGGGCCGUAGUGUCGCGAUACGCGGUCCCCGCCGCCGCCCCGAGGCCGUCCCCGCGGUUGCACCGACUCGCGAACCGUCGUUGUGUCGCCCCUUCGGGCCGCAGCGUCGCGGCCCGUGGUCCCCGCCGCCGCCCCGAGGUCUUNNNNNNNNNNNNNNNNNNNNNNNNNNNNNNNNNNNNNNNNNNNNNNNNNNNNNNNNNNNNNNNNNNNNNNNNNNNNNNNNNNNNNNNNNNNNNNNNNNNNNNNNNNNNNNNNNNNNNNNNNNNNNNNNNNNNNNNNNNNNNNNNNNNNNNNNNNNNNNNNNNNNNNNNNNNNNNNNNNNNNNNNNNNNNNNNNNNNNNNNNNNNNNNNNNNNNNNNNNNNNNNNNNNNNNNNNNNNNNNNNNNNNNNNNNNNNNNNNNNNNNNNNNNNNNNNNNNNNNNNNNNNNNNNNNNNNNNNNNNNNNNNNNNNNNNNNNNNNNNNNNNNNNNNNNNNNNNNNNNNNNNNNNNNNNNNNNNNNNNNNNNNNNNNNNNNNNNNNNNNNNNNNNNNNNNNNNNNNNNNNNNNNNNNNNNNNNNNNNNNNNNNNNNNNNNNNNNNNNNNNNNNNNNNNNNNNNNNNNNNNNNNNNNNNNNNNNNNNNNNNNNNNNNNNNNNNNNNNNNNNNNNNNNNNNNNNNNNNNNNNNNNNNNNNNNNNNNNNNNNNNNNNNNNNNNNNNNNNNNNNNNNNNNNNNNCCGUAGCACCGCGGCCCGCGGUCCGCUCCGCCGUCACCGCGCGUCGAGCUCUCGUGGUAUGCGCCGCGCCGUCUUCCUUGGCGCAGGAACGCCACCGUCCGCGCCGGUCUUCAUCACGCUGUCAGGGUUCUUCACCUACUUCGAGCACUGCUGCCGCCCGUCCACCCCCUUCGUCUUCGUCCAAGCACCAGCCCGUCGCCAGCGUCGCCGUCAUCUACCCCGACCACUUCGUCUACUCCGACCACCGUUGGUGACAUCGGCCCCGCGCCGAUGGACGCCGCAAUCGUCGUCGAGUUCUUCUCUGCUGGCCCCUCCGACUUCUCCGACAUGGCGUACAGCUCGUGCAGGUCCCUCGUCUACGCAUGCUCGGUGCUGGCAACUUCGAUGCGUGCCUUCAUCCACGACGUGUCCCCGGGCCUGGCAAGCAUUGUCGGCGCUUCGUCAACUUCGUCUUCGACCGUCUACGCAUGCCCGGUGCUGGCAACACCAGAGCGUGCCUUCGUCUACGACGUGUCCCUGGGUUUGGCACACCCGACGCGACGCAUCGUCAACAUCAUUUUCUCCCCAGCGCACCACUACUUCGACACCACUGCGCCCAUGCCUAACUCAGCGCCCCCUUGCGCCCGCGGCUCCACGGCGACUUCCUCGACACCGGCCACCCCGACUCGACAUCGACAACGACAUUCUUCACACGGCUACCUCGACCAUGGCUCCACCACCCACGCUCUUGGCUACAUCGACAAACGGCAUAAAGGGCUACCGCCUGCUUGAGCAACCUCGUUGGUUUCCACUCCAGCCACGACUCCGCGAUGCAUCGACUGUUACGACUGUGGGGGGGUGUCCGUCGACUUGCCUUUGGAUUCUUCUCCAGUCUCACCAUCUGCGUCGCUACCGUUGUGACUGCGGGGGGAUGUUGAGUAACGUGAUUGUAUUAGGAAAUAUAGGUUAGACUAGGAAAUAUUCUGGCUUGCCUUGUACUCCAAGUAGAUCAUGUACUCCUAUAUAUAUGCCCACGAGGCUCAAGCAAUACAAUGAACUAUUCUACCAAUCCUCUCUUUCCCUUCUAAUACUAACCAAGUUUAGCUCAAACUAAUGCUACUUUAAAGGUACUCCCUCCGUCCCAAGUGUCAAAAAAAAGUUUUACAUUAUGGGAUGGAGGGAGUAGUUGUUUUGAGUGUAUUUUAGGUUUAGUUCAUCAUUUUUGUCAAAAUUUCGGCCAUGUAUCAUGAUUUGUUUUUUUAGUGGGAUAUCACGAUUUGGUUUGAUAUAUAGAUGCAAGUCCCCUCCAUUUGGGAGAAAUGGAUUGUUAGAUGCAAAUCAGUUUGAUAGAGAUGUAUGCAUAUUUCUCUGUUUAUUGAAAGACCGAUAUGCAAAUCAGUUUCUCGUGGCUCGCAUGCACACAUACUCUUCUUUUCUUUUUUUUUGCACACACAGAGGGGUCUGAUCGCCUGCAAUUGUCGCAGCUCACUUUGCAUCGGCCCCCAAGCUCAAACCAAGAAGGUACAGGAGAUGAGAUGAGAGGGUUAAAGGCACGGCGUGUGAUUGGUGGGAACUGGCACUGCCACCGGCCGGCACCGCUUUGCAUGCAGCACGGCCUGAUCCACACUACCACAGAUUCGCCAGCAGCACCUCGAUCUCGGUGCCAUGAUCAGUUGCAGUUUGCAGGUGGGCAUCUCCCUCGACGACCACGCACGCCCACGCAGAAUUCGUAAAUCCUACUACUCCAGGACUAGGACUCUAUGCCGUGCCAUGAAUCCAUGAUCACCGACGAUGCACCAACGGCAUGUGGAGGGAUCAAGCAGUGACACGUAAGUUUAUUUAUUUAUUGAGGGAGCAGUAGCACAUUCGGAUUUCGUCUGUUUGGGUUGGCAAAACGGACGCCUAUGUCCGGUCUGGGCCAGCCGCCGGUCUAUGCACCCAACGCGCAGCCGCAUCCCAAACAUUGUCCAUGUUGGUAAAAAAAAUUUCCAAAAAAGGCAUUGCAACUUUAAAAAAACAAAGGCUUUGAAAAAUCAUAAAACACAAUAUAUAAAAAACUUUAAACAGUCCACGUCUUGGUCACUGCCCGCACAUAGUACUUAAGUUUAAAUUAAAAAAACAUAAACACCGUAGAUCUGCCGCCAGCCCGCGCCGUCAACGCUGUCGCCGUCUUCAAGCGCCACAAUCCUCGUCGUCAUCAUUCUUGGUCAGGUCGAUGUAGGGAGGCGGCGUCCAGAGGUGGGGCGGUAGCCCCCAAAAUGGCCCGACGUCCUGUGCAAGCUGCGGUGGUGGAGGUGGUGGUGGUCACCACGGCGCCCACGCCGCCCGCGGUGCUGGUUGCGGCGACGACGGCGAGGCUGCAUGGCACCGUGGUUGUCCAUGGCCAUGAUUGCCCUACAGCGCCUCGCUCCACACCGGGGUGGGGGGCCGGUCCUCCAUGGCCUCCUCCUUCACGUCCUGCUUGACGACCAGCUCCGGCACGUAGACGUCCCCGGUGGCCGAGAGCGCCAGCAUCUCCUGCAGAGCCACCCACUGCGCCUCCUGGCUCCGCUUGUACUCCCUCUCGGAGUCCUCCAUGACGGCCCACACCAGCCGCUCCUCCUCCUUGUCCGUCAUGGUAAAAGCUACUGGUGGCGAUGAUGACAGGGAGGGAGAGGGCGUCGGUGUCAGGCCGCACACACCAGUCCGACCGCGCACCCUGGGUGGGCUCGGCGCGCACACGCGCGAUGCGCCGGGCGGGCCACGAGCACGGCCGGCAAAGUAGGUUUGCCGGCGCAUGUCGUGCUCGUCCUGGAACCAAGUGUCCCAGAGCAGCGAGUCGACGUCGUAGCGCCGGUCGGCAAGUUACUGGCGCGGGAUGUGGGCGCACCGGCGGGUGAUUUCCUACAGGUGUGUGUGGCCACUCGCCGUCACGGGGGGAUCGGCACCCGAUCUGGGCUCAGAUGCCACCCAUUGGGGAGGUGGGCAUUAGACCACGGCAACGGGGUACCUGUUGCCAGUACUAAUGGCAGACGUCCACCUUGACGUACGGCCGGAAGCGCACCGGAGCUGCCAGAGGGGAGAUCGAGAAUGCGGCCGACGAGAUGGAGUGGGUGGUCGCGCUUCCCGACGAGGCAGACGAUGAGCCUACCUCCUGGUCGUGAUUGCCCUUGUUGCCCAGCACCCACUUCCAGAAGCCCAUUUGCGACGGCUGGCGGUGUGCGAGGUGGGGCGGCGCGGCUAGGGUUUGGUGUCGGGCGCGGAGGGAGCAACGGAAUGUGGACAGUGUGGGGAAGUGAAAGUGGACUGGCCCGUCCACGGCUUCACCAUAAAAAAGGACGCGACCGUGGGCGGCUGGGUGGCUGACCGGCGGGCCCGUCCACUCGUGUCGAUUAAAUGGGGGCGAUGGGAGAUAGUUGGACGGCCGACAUGCGGGCCCGGGGCGGACGGCGAGAGGAAGCGUGCGCGUCCGUUCUAUGUCCGUUUGACCGCAGAGCCAGAUCAAAUUUGCACCCAAGAUGGGUCGAGACGAAUCAGAAACAAAUUUUUUCUAGAGCAACUCCGACGGGCUGACCCAAACGGACGGCGCAUUUGUCCGCUUUUUGUCCGUUUGGGUCGGCCGCCCGCCCGUCGUCCGCCCAGGUUUUCAUUUGGGUCGGCAGUGCGCCCAACGCGCCGACCCAUUUCAUGACCGCGCGCGCUGUAGAUCAUGCCAGCGGCCAUGUCGUCGCCCUGGUUUUGGCGCUCCAGCGCGCGGGAAAGGUUCGCGCGCGCCGGCAAAAAUCGGGCUAGCGCGCGCUGGUUGUGGCGCUCCAGCGCGCGGGAAAGGUUCGCGCGCACGCCGCGGCCGGCGCUCGUUAUAAGAAGGCGCUCCCUCGCCGCCCACUCGUCUCGCCCCCUCUCACUAGCCUCCCCGCCUCUGCGCCAGCAUGUCGAUUCGCCGCCUGGGCGCUUCGGAUUUUCGCGGAGUCCGCGAGCGCCGCUCCGGCGCAUUCCCCUCCGAGAUCUGUUUUGGCGAGAAACGCCUCAUCCUUGGCACCUUCGACACCGCAGAGGAGGCGGCCUGCGCGCACGACGCGGCAGCCUGGCGCCUCUUGAGGCCUCGUGGGGAGAUGAAUUUUCCCGACGUGUCGAGCCAGCGGGCGCAGGAUCUAGCGCCUCUCCCGCGGCUUUUCACCGACGAGGUCGUCGUGUCCACCGGAGGCGGCAGCGUCACCUCGCCAUCGCCGAGAUGGACGUGGAAGCCAUGGUGGUGUGGCGCGAACGCUUCCCGCAGGACAUCGUCGACGAGCGUCAGUUCUACAAGCAAAGGAGGACGGAGAGGGAGGCAAGGAGGACGGAGCGAGCCGCCUAUCGGGAGGACAAGCGUGCGCGGAAGCAGGCCGCUCAAUUGAAACUGAAGCUACGAGAAACGUCAGGGUGGUACUUCGAGGACAAGCAGUAUGCUGACGCCUACAUUCAGACGUCGGAGGAGGACAUUACCGAGUCAGAGUCGGAAAGCGACGACGAGUAGUUGGUCUUUUCUUUUAUCUGUGUACGCUAAAACUAUCUACGUAUCCUUGUUCUAUCGGAAAAAAUGGCCGGCGGCGUCGGCGACGAAGCAGGCGGCGACGGUGUGCUGUUGGAUGUGGAGAGGCCAAUGUGCCACCGACCAGCAGGCCCGGGGAGGAGAGAGGGCGAGCGCGCGCGCGUCCGCCUUGUGUCCCCGUCGACGCAAAUCCGGCUCAAAAAUGAACCGAGAAUGGGUCGGCAGGCGGACGAAAGCGGACGCGCGUCCGUUUGGGUCGGCGCGUUGGGCCGGUUUUUGUGUCCGCGCCGGUCCAAACAGACGGCGGCAGAUGAAAUGGGUCGCCCAUUAAAGUUGCUCUUACGGAUGUGAUCGCGUGUUGUGCUGUGCCGUCCGAUCUAUUUGGGCUAAAAGGGACACACCUGGACCUGAUGGGUCGUGCGUUUGAGUUAGCCUCACACAAACAAACAGAGCCAGGAGAGGAGUUUAGAGACGGGCACUUUGCAUGCACGGGAUCCGAACGGGACGACGACGGGGAGAAGGAGAUCGGUCGUAUCUGCGGUGGGAUUCGCUUCGGUUUCCAGGGCCGUCCCUUUCGCUGCGGCGGCAGCAUGCGCGCGCCCCGGCCGGCAGCCGCUUGCGGCAGCAGCAGCGUGCCUUGCGCUGUGGCACUGGCAGCGGCAUUGAUCAUGCCAUGCGCUCCCUUGGAUCGGUAGAUGCUCCUCACCUCAGCGUGUAGUAGUACUAGUAGUAUUACUAGAUACGUAGAUGCUGCUGGUGGGAGCUCUAGCUUGGUCCCACGGCCGGCAGACUGCCUAGCAAUGGAGGAAAGUAAAUCUACUGGUAGCAAUGAAAAACAGACGUCUGCACUAGCAGUUCGAGACUUGAGUCUCCAUAAUGAAGUCUUCAUAUUUUCUUUUGCUUUUGCUUGAAAUUAGAAGUUCUAAUUAUAUGCAGUCAAACAAAGAUUAAAGUAGAUUCAUGUCAAAAUAGAGAUUAAAGUAGAUUAAGAACAAACCACAUCCGAAAUACUUAAAAGUUCUCAUAAUAGGAGCCAAAAUUUAUCACAAAUUUGCAUAUAAUUUGUGACUUCAAAUGCCAUUAAGCGGCAUUUGUAAAAUACUAAUAAACAUAGGCAAUGUCGCUGUUCGACGUUGCUAGCUACUAGUCGAGGCCGUCGCCGGAGUCGAUCGUCUUGCUAGCUUUCCAACAACAAUCGAGUUUGCGCUGCCACGUGGCCUCCUCGGGAGGGAGGGGCGUUCCUCCGCUUCGCAGGAGGAAAGCUUGGGCACGACCGUGAUGGGGACAACGGGGACGACAACAUCCUCUUCGUCAGAGGAGUCAUACCAUCGGCAUGGCACAGGUGGGGAUCGUUGUGACAGGGACAAUGGCCUCCGAUCCAAGGUCACAUGCAUUGAGUCCAUAGGUAUGUAAAUACUAACAAAAGGGGAUGAGGUUGUGAUCAUGGACUAACUGCUCAAGUGCUUAGAGAUCAAGCUCCAAAAGCCUCAAUCAAACUCUCACAUCCCACUAUGUCCAAAACCCUAAGUCAAACUCGGUCUCACUGAUCCACUACAAUAUACGGACUCACCGAGUUAACCAAUGACAUAGUCAUUGGCUCAUUGCCUAAACCCCAAAAUUUGGUCUCACCGAAUUUGCCCUUCGAUCCCACCGAAGAGCACUAGCCAACCUUCUUUUGCCAACUGAAAUUCAGUCGGAAUUUCCGAUCGAUUUCAGUCGGUUACACCGAAGUAUGGAAAGUGCUUAGGUCAUCACAUCUUAGUCCCACCGAAUGGUUUCACCCGAUCUCACCGAAACGUCUAAAGUUCAAACAUUUUGUACAAGUUGGUCUCACCGAGUAGUUUCAACCGGUCCCACCGAACUGUGCAUCAAGGUUUGCCUCUAUAUAUCGCUACGAAUUCCACCAACUUUCAGAGAGCAACCAGAGCGAAGCAUACACUUCCCAUAUCCUUUUCAGAGAGAGAGAGAGAGAGAGAGAGAGAGAGAGAGAUCCUUGUUUUGAGAUAUAAGGGAUUCCACUCGAAGCAAAUAAGAAACAAAUAUAUGUUUUCCAUCCUUGUUUUCUAUGCCAGUUUUGAAACUAUGCCUAUUUAAGAAACAAAUAUAUGUUGCAUAAGAAGCAUGAAUAUAUGACCGGUUCAUGCAAAUGUGAACAAGAUAAAAAAAUAGAAAUACAUUCUAUAAUGCACAACAUUACAAAUAGUAAAAAAUUGCAAAAUGGGUGUGCCCCUUUAGUAAUGUGAUACUAAUUGAGUGGGACUGGGACGUAAAUAUGAAGAAAAAAUGAAGGUAUGUUAAAGAUGGGAAAGGCCAAUAUACAUAUUACAAUUAUGCUGACGAGUGAGAUCAAUGAGAAUGAAAAAUAAGAAACAUAUAUAGUAUAAUUUGGAAGCAUGGUAAACUCAAUAUUCAUUUAACACAUUAUGGAAAAAUGCGAGAAUAAGUAAAAUUUGGAAUCAACAUUGAGGAUCUUGGUAUGAAGCAAAGUUCAUUGAUAAUAGAUAAUAAACCAAGCUUGGCACUAACAAGCGGAUGCAUCUGUUGUGUCGCCAAUGUACACAUAGAAUUGAUUACCGGAUGAUUAAUGGGAGCAAUUUUUUAGCCAAACAGAAUGAUUACAAUGUAGAAACACCCUGAUGAGAAUCGAGAAAAAGUGUAUUGAAUACAUAGGUAUCUUCACUAUGAGAUUCAAUGAGAAUCAACAUGAGUCGAUCCGUCUGAUGAUUUGUUUCCAAUCAUACUAUGGAUCAAAUUUGUUUCCCUUUUUAUACAUGGAAACGAGAGAUAAAAUGGGGGAUCUGAUGAGGCGCUUUGGUUCCUGGGCUCGUAUGAGCCCUGGAGUGAAAAAACAAAUAGUUAAAAAUACGAAAUAAUUUUUUUUUAAAUCGAAUUUUUGAGUGGAGAAAGAUGACUGAGUGAUGUCCGUGUCAAAUUUCAGAGCAUUUGGAUGUCUGAGUAGCUCUCAGUAAAAAAGACAAAUUUAAGGUCUGUAAGAAAGUUUACUAAUUGUGCAUUGUUUGGACCUGAUUUGUUUUUUGUUGAAAGCUAUUGUGAUGUACACCUACUUUAAAAUUUGGCACGCAUCUCACGCACUAAAGUAUCUUCCAUGCAAAAGAAUAAGAUUUUUUUUAAAUUGUCAAGUAUAUUUUUUUUUUGAAUUUACCGUUCAUCGGCCGAUGAGCCAGACUUAGAAUUGGAUAUUCGGGGAUCCGAUCAAUCUCUCAUCUACAAGCAGUUUCUUUCUUGGAUGAAAAGCAGAAAAUGCAUCGCUUAAUUGGACUGGACUGUUGCGAGACAGAGUAGACCAAAACUCCAUUGAAGAGGGGGGGACCAUCACUUGAUGCCUUGUUCCUUGUUUCGGCCAUGCACCCGCUGUACUUGUAGGUCUGCACAUUUGGAUCCUGCCUUGCAGAAAAUGAUUGGAUCUAUAAUCCUACAGUAGAGUGACAUAACCGAGAGAAAAUGAUGAGAGAGAGAGAGAGAGAGUUUUUCAUGCAUGUCUCUCUCUCAGGGCUCACGCACAAACUUGCAGCCUUGUUGUAGCUAGUGGCCGGUACAACAAAGAAGCCUUCUUUCACCGCUUUCCUUUUUGUGUGGGGCAGCCGGGCGGGUGCCGUGUUUGUCAGCCUUGCUUGUAGCGGCCGGUACAAACACGCAUGCCUCUCAUGGCUCAAAAGAAGACAAAACAUGGAUAUUGUCAUGGGAUUCUCAAUGUGUAUUACGUACCAAUUCCGAUCUGAAAUUUUUAGGGUAUUUUCCCGGCCGACAUCACCCGGAAAGAUAUGGCUCCUCAUGCCAUCUCCACCGCACGACCCCAUUUUGUUCGGGUGUGUCCAUUUAGGGCAAAACGGACAAAUGACGCUACCCAACCGCAGACCCCAUUUUAUUUUUCUGUCCGUUCGACCCCAUUCGCGCCCAAACUUGCGAUGGCUUUGAGGUAAAAGCGGACACGAAACGGACGAGUUUGUGGCGUCCUCGUCCGCUGCGUGUCCGCCGGCCCAUGUGUCAGCCCCACCUCUCUCUCUCCUCCUUUUCUCUCUCCCCGCGUGACGAGCNNNNNNNNNNNNNNNNNNNNNNNNNNNNNNNNNNNNNNNNNNNNNNNNNNNNNNNNNNNNNNNNNNNNNNNNNNNNNNNNNNNNNNNNNNNNNNNNNNNNNNNNNNNNNNNNNNNNNNNNNNNNNNNNNNNNNNNNNNNNNNNNNNNNNNNNNNNNNNNNNNNNNNNNNNNNNNNNNNNNNNNNNNNNNNNNNNNNNNNNNNNNNNNNNNNNNNNNNNNNNNNNNNNNNNNNNNNNNNNNNNNNNNNNNNNNNNNNNNNNNNNNNNNNNNNNNNNNNNNNNNNNNNNNNNNNNNNNNNNNNNNNNNNNNNNNNNNNNNNNNNNNNNNNNNNNNNNNNNNNNNNNNNNNNNNNNNNNNNNNNNNNNNNNNNNNNNNNNNNNNNNNNNNNNNNNNNNNNNNNNNNNNNNNNNNNNNNNNNNNNNNNNNNNNNNNNNNNNNNNNNNNNNNNNNNNNNNNNNNNNNNNNNNNNNNNNNNNNNNNNNNNNNNNNNNNNNNNNNNNNNNNNNNNNNNNNNNNNNNNNNNNNNNNNNNNNNNNNNNNNNNNNNNNNNNNNNNNNNNNNNNNNNNNNNNNNNNNNNNNNNNNNNNNNNNNNNNNNNNNNNNNNNNNNNNNNNNNNNNNNNNNNNNNAGGCGGCGCAGGCUCUGGGGCGGCAGGCGCAUGGCCAGGGGCCGGGGCGUGGCGAGCGUACUGAAGACGGACAAUUUGGGGUCGUCUGCAGUGUUGGGCGCCUCAAACACAAACCGGACACACAUGUCCGUUUUCACACCCAUUGCCACCUCAAAGGGACAAAAUCCGACUAAAACGGACGUCCGUUUAGGGUCCGCAUGCUGUGGAGUUGGCCUCAUACUCAGACCGAUCAAUGCUGCUGCGGAUGGAUUCUGGUUGCGAUGCUACAGAAGUACUCUACUUACCAGAUUUGCCUACCGUCCUCUGUCAUCAUAUCUUCGUGGGUUGUCUUUUCUUUUCUUUACAGCUCCACGCACAAACUUGCACAAAGCCACACACAACGAGUGGUACGUAGAACCGGUACAAAACACAGAUCAGAAAGAAAAAGAAUCAUAAGAAAACAUGCUCUCGUGAUCGUGAUGGUUUCAAAGACGAUCAACUCGGGUGCAGCAUAUGCUGUUUGCAAUGCCCUAGGGAUGAUACUAGUACAUGGGAUCCAGGGAAAGAAAGCUACUUUUGCACACACACUGGCAGGGUCGAUCUGAUGGCCUGCGUUUCUCGCAGCUUGCUUUGCAACGGGGCCCCAAGAGGGUACAGGAGAUGAGAGGGUUAAAGGAACCGGGGUGAGUACUGGCACUGCUUUGCAUGCAGCCGGCCAGCACCAGCACAGCCUUAUCCACUGCCACAGCCCACAGAUUUGCCAUCAUCUCGAUCGAUCGCUGCCAUCAUCAGUUGCAGUUUACAGGUGGCGAUCUCUCUCGAGGACCACGCGUCCAUGCCCACCCAGAAUUCGGAAAUCCUACGACUGGAGUCUAGUGGAAGUAAUUAAUCAAAGGCUAGGCUAUGCACCAUACCACCCUUUCUGCAUUGCAGCACUAGAGAAAAUCUAGUAGUUGAGUAAUCUAAUUAGAGUCGCCAUCCUUCAUAUGGAGCACGCUCCAUAAUGUUUUCAAGGAGCGACCAGCCACCGACGAUGACGCUUCACAUAUGGAGCACACAUAAGAUGAACUUGGACUCGUGGAGAAGUGAUGACGAUGACGCCGAAUGGCAACUUCCACGGUGGUCUUCUCUUCUCUUUGGCGUGUGUGGGCUUCAUGUGGGUACUGGGUAGGCAGGUUGGCCUGUGUGGCCCGGUUAUCGGGGCGUUUGUGACGGUUUUCAUUCGUUUUUUCAUUAAUUAACCGGGAAAUAUCUCCUUCAAACUCAGAUAAAGCAAAUAUUUUGUGCACUCGCUUCAAAUUUGUAGGGCGGAUUUAAGUGACAUUUAGUCUAACCAAACACAUGUAUAUAUCAACACCACAACUUAAUUAACAACUAUAUUAGGGACCAAAAUUCAUCGCAUUACAUAUAUUCUGCUAUUUGAGACAUCGUUAAGCAAAAAACUCAGAAUAUGUAGUGUCGCUAUUUGACAUUCCUUUAGCUGCUACUACCACUGCUCCGCCGCCGCGGCCAUCUACUCAGCCUCGUCCGAUAGCUCGUUGAGGUUGGUGAAGUCGUCGUCUUCUUGCUCCUCCUUCGAGCGAUGAGUGUGAGCUGCUCUCCUCCUCGUUGGUGGUUAUGGGACCAAAGCGCUUGGCAAGGCGCUCCUUUUGGCGGCGGGCCGCCUCCACUUCGUGGGUGGAGAGCUCGAGCACAACCCUGACUGGGUCCUCGGGCUCGGGCUGGGCUUCGAGAAGGAUGGGGAUGAACGGGACGAGGGGGCAGCGAGAUCGUAUCAGGACCCCGUCGGUCGAGACAGCGGUAGAAAAAGGUGGAUUGAGCAAUCAAACGAAUGUUCGCCUCAACACUCUAUUGGAAGACGUAUGACUCUACUGCUCCAUCCAAAUUUAGCUCAAUUCAUCUUUUUUUGACCAAGGGUGAACUAAUCUUAUUUUUUUCCUCAUCUUUUAAUUUAAUUGCAAGUGAGUUUUCAACAAGUAAAAUUAUGCCUCUCAGCCUCUGCAUCCUAAGAUGCACACACCCAUCAUUUUAUCAAAUACUAACAAACAUGCUUGUGUGUUGUAACGGGACAAAAAGACACAUGCUCCUCGCAUAAUAAGCACGACUCAAGACCCCUCCACAGGUCCACCUCAUCUAUUUAACACAGGUCACAUCCGUGACGUCGCUUAUUCUCCUUCCAUCCUUCAUCGACCAUGGUCGCAAUGUUCAUCUGAUCAAAAUGCGUCCGAACGUGGCCAAUCCUAAGUGAUGAUCUCGGCCACCAACGAAACCGUAAACACACACCUGCCAUUGAAUCACACCAUCACAGGUGAAUGUCUGAUACUUUUAAAAUUAAUCUCGUCAAGCUGGACGUGAUGGCCGUCCUUCCCGUGCUACGGCCCACACCUAGUUCAUACACCAUCCUUCAUACAUCAACAUUCUUCUUAAAAUACAUAAAUACUUUUUAAAUACGUGGGCUUUUUUUAAAGAGCAUGACUAUUUUAAAAUUACGAAGAAAAAAAUUAAGCAUGUGAACGCUUUUUAGAAUCACAUGAUUUAUUUUUGAGAAAAGGUAAACAAUUUUCAAAUUAUAUGAAUAUUAUUUUAAUAUGUGAGCACUUUUCUUAAAAGUACACAAACAUUUAAAAUGCACGAUUUAAAAAAAAUACAUUUCAUUUCUCAAAAGGCACAAACACAUAAAAUUAGAAUGUUGAAAAGGUAUUAAUUAGAUUUGGUGUAGCAAGUUAUCAGGUUACACAUCCAUGCGCCUAGUUUUUUCCUGCAUGACGACCGUUGCAUUGAACGAUUGUAUCAAUGAUUCGAAUUCGUUAGUCAGAAUAUAUGGGAUUAGUUUAAUAUUUUUGAAAAAAAAUAGCUGACCAGCUAGAAUAUUUUUCUCAAACACGUCUUGGAGCGUGUCAUUUUCAUCGCGGUCCUCUUUUAUCUACUUCUCCCUUCGUAAACUAAUAUAAAAGCAUUUAGAUUACCACUUUAGUAAUCUAAACGCUCUUAUAAUAGUUUACAGAGGGAGUACUUGGUUCAUCUUUUGUUUGGCGGUCCACGAUUCUCGUCUAGCUCAAGAAAUGUUGUCAAAAAUGUACUACAUGGAGUUUCCCUAAAACAAGGACAUGCAGAAAGUCAGAUACACACACCAUCUUGAUCUAGACGGGCAAAAGCUGGUCCCGAAGAGGGUCCAGAGCAGUGGUGCCAUCGGUGAGAACUGGCAGUGACACCGGCAUGCACUGCUUUGCAGUUUGCAAGCAGCCCAGCGACAGGCAGCCAGCACAGCCUGAUCCACACUGCCACAGACAGAUUCGCCAGCAGCAUCUUGAUCUGGGCGCCAUGAUCAGUUGCAGUUUGCAGGUGGCCAUCUCCCUCCCUCGACGACCACGCACGCACGCACGCACGCCCACGCAGAGCUUGGUGUAGGAUUGCACCAAGCCUAUGCCAUGAUCAAUUGCACCAACGAUCGAUAAACGGUACACUCACUCUAUGCCCGUGAGAGAUCAAUUGAGGCGCCUAUGUGAUGGGGAGGGACCAAGCAGCGGCAUGCACAUGCAGGCUGUAGCUGCAGGACACGUACAACGUCGUAGAUGCAUCGUAUCUGCGCUGGGAUGCGCUCCGGCGGUUUCCAUGGCCGUCCCUUUCCCUGCCGCGGCGGCAUGCGCGCGCCCCGGCCGGCAGCCGCUUGCGGCAGCGGCGCCGUGCCGCGCGCUGUGGCAUUGAUCAUGCCAUAGGCGCUGCGUGUGUGCUCGAUUCGACCGGUGCCUGCCUGCCUGCCACCGGAGAUGCUCCUCACCUCAGCGUGUAGUAGUAGAUAGAUGCUGCUACUCCGCUCUACGGCUCUAGCUUGGUCCCCCGGAGGAAAGUAAAUCUGCUUUUGUCUCUGGAGAGGUCGAAAGGGCUGGGUAAUUGACCUCUGUCUGCACUGGCAGUUCGAGACUUGAGUUGAGCUGCGUGUCUUUACUGUUCAUCACGUACGCUAGCGCACUGCAUGCAUGCUGUCUUCUCGGUAGCUUUUUUCUUUUUCUUUUUUGGGUGUGUGUGUUCAAACUCCACUAUCUCGUCUAGUUCCCCAGCUUAUCCAAGGACUACUAGUUACGUGGUGUAGAUUAGAUUAGACUGCCACCUGAGCACCUUGGCACACGGCAAAUUAAGCUAGACGUACGUGUAGGGAAAGGAAACAAAAAAAACUGCAGUAAAUACGAGACCGAAAUGUGGAUGCAGGUAAGAUGGCAUGCGGCGUGGCAGUUAGGCCGCUGGACCAAAUAUGGCUUCAUAUGCGCCGGCCCCUGCUGCUGGAUCGAGGUUUUAUGGGCGUUGUACGUCGCUGGUGUGGAUGUGAUACUUGCGGCCAUGGCACAGGCAGAAAACAGACACUCAUGAGAGGCGUUGAUGCUCAGUGGCUCUCGGCAGGCUAGAGGACUCGAGAUCAAGAGGCCCGCAGGAAAAUCUUUCCCAGAAGAAGAAGCUGAAUCCAUUCACCUUGAAUACGACGGUAGUUCCCGCGCGCAAAGUCGUGGUACGUCCAUCAGACGCCCUACAUUUGGAGACAGCGCAAUGGCUUUUGUCUGAUAACCGGAAGAUUUGGAGACAGCGUAAUGGGCGUGUCUUUCGCAACAGGUUAGACAAAGCAAUGGGAGCAUUUUUUCCAUGUCUUGUAAUUAACUCACUUUCUACUAUAAAGCUAUGGUGCACAAUUUCUGUACUCUCGGAAAAAAAUCUGAUAGCUCUACGACUUGCACAGUGCAUCAUGUUUUCUUUAAAAACACAUACAUGUAACUUUAUUCAAACAAAGAAAAUAAUUACAUGUACAAAGCUUUGGAUUGAAGAUCCAAGAAAUUACAAAGUAACUUUUAUAACUAAGAGUUGCAAUAAAAUCCCUUAGACACACAUUCUUUGCGGUAAUAUUUGUUGAAAGACAAAAUUCUCCGAAGCCUUCAAGAAAGACAUUGUAAUAAGACCGGAGUGGCGACACUGCUACUUGUACAUCUGCAAGAACGUGAUUACGGAUAAAGUUCUCACGGAGCCUAUGGAUUCGCACAGCCAGAAAGAUGGGAAGCCAUAAACGGUCAACAUACUUGGGAUAGAGAUUAUCCCCUAGAUGUGCAGACUGUCGAACUGCAAGAUCUUCACCGUAAUAACAAUGAAAGACUCCAACUAAACAAAAAUUCAAACCAACCAAAGUGCCAAGACAGUUUGACAAAAAAGCAAUAGGUCUGUAAGAUUGGCCGUCCGAGGAGAUAAACCUAAGCACUACAAGAACAAUUGCAUCGAACCUGCAGAGGAAACAUACACUCUAUAACAUCUCUUGAAAAAGCAUUGUCGCAACGAAAAAAAACUCACAGGAAAGCUUCCAAAAUCAUCUAAACCGAUCAAUAGAAGCUCCCCAAAACCGGUCUACGAGAUGGCCUACAAUGGCGAGCCACUAAGGCCCAGUAGACCAUGAAGUUCGUGAGUUUGUAAAAAGUUUGCAAAAAAAAUCACGAAUUUGAGAAGAAUUUCAGGAAUUUGAAAACUUCAUGAAUUUGAAAAAAAAAUAGUGAAAUUAGAAAAGGUUCAUAAACUUAAAACAAAUUUCCGAAUAUCAAAAAGUUUGAUUUUCUUGAAAAUCUUCAUGACAUUUGACAAAAUUUCAUGAAAAGGAAAAAGUUCAUAGAUUUUUUUUCAGAAAAAUGUUCAUGGAUUUAAGAAAGGUUCAUCGAUUUUGAAAAAAACAAGUUCAUGAAAUAGAGUUAGUUCACUUAUUUAGAAAAAUAAUCAUAAAAACUAACGUAGUUCAUCGAUUUUCUAAAACCUAGUGCAUUUAAAAAAUCAUGGAUUUAAAAAGUUUGCGAUUUUUUUUUGAAGAAUUGGAAAUUCAAGGAUUUAAGAAAACUUCAUGAUUUUAAAAAGAUUAACAAAGUUAAAAUGGAGAAGAAAAUGAAAAGUUUUCCCGAAGAAAAAAAAUAAAACAAAAGAAAAAUGCCAAAAAACCAUUUGGUGGAGGCGCAUUCGACGAACACCAAGAAAAAAACAAUAAAUAUGAACAGCCGUAGGCUCUCGCAGUUGGUUUCUGUGUGUGGUACUACACCGGCAGGUCGGGUAUUUAAAUCUCUUGCGCGCACCCAUUUCUGAAGGUUAACAAAAAGGAAAAAGAAGCAAGCGUGCCGAGUCUAGGGAGGAGGUAUGUUUGCGCCGGUGUGUACAAUGGGCUAUUACCGGUGCCCGGGCUAUCUCUCGCCUGUACUGAUUGCUGUUAGGAAUCGCCUACUGGAGAUGAUAAGCUGGCCGGCCGAUUAACUCUGCUAUGAUCAUUGCCUCCGGGCCGCUUCGCUGGUUCGCACUACACCGUUUUAUUCGGCUUUUUUUCUUUUUCGUUUUUUUCGUAUUUUCUUUGGCUUUUUUUUCCGACGGGUUUUCUUUUCUUUCUUCGUAAUACUUUGGCCUUUUUUCACUGUUUUUUUGGGGUUCUUAACUUUCUCGUCAACUCUGGUUUUUUGCUAUUUUUUUGUUUUCUUCGGUUUUCUUUUACAUUACUUUUUGUUUCAUUAUCAGGUUUUACUGGUUUUUUCUUUAUUUAUUUUUCAUAGAUUUUAUUUUGGGGUUUUUAACACAUUUUUACAUUAUUUUUGUACUCAUCAAAAAUUUACCAAAUACUCCCUCUGAUCCAAAAAAUGUGUCAUGGCUUUAGUUCAAAUUCGAAAUAAAGCCAAAAUACUUUUUUGAUAGGCGGGAGUACAUUAUUAACAUUUUUGCAAUAUAUAAAUUUUAAUGUCUACAUUUUAUGCAAUUUUCCAUUUUUCAUAGAUCUAAAACAUUUUUUGUAUAUGUUUAACAUAUUUAAAUACGUGAUUGUACAUUUUCUUAAAUAUUUAUUCUGAACUUUUUUCGAGUAGGUGUUAAUGUUUUUCCAAAUAAUCCUUGUAAUUGUUUAUAUCAUUUUCAACUAUGCAAACAUUUUCCCAGAUUUUUCAAAAUAUUGUUUCCAAAAUGUCACGAUCACAUUUUUGUGAACCUAUUAUGCUCUGCGCGAUGCACUACUGAACUGGUCCGUUAAUUUCUACAGACGUUAAUUCUCUUGUUAUGCUUCUUUCAUUUCGUUUCUUUUUAUUUUUUCCUUAUUUCCCACUUUUGCUAGUAUUCCCCACAAAAUAUAUUAAUUUUAAAAAAUACAUUUCGUAAAUUUUUGAAAGCAUAAAUAAAUGUUUGUGACUUUUACAAAAUGUUCACUUGCUUUCAAAAAAUGUUUGGUAAGUUUUGCAUUUAUACGGUUUGUGUAAUAUAAAUAAUAUAUUUUUCACAGUCAAAAAUGUGUUCAUGUUUCAAAAAAGCUCGUGUACAUUGAAAAACGUUGCUAUGAUAUAGAUAAUCGAUCGCAGUAUUUUAAACAAAUGUUUCAUAAAAUUAAAAAAAUUGAUCACAUUUAUAAACAAUUGUUCAGGUGUGUCAAAAAUAUUUUCAUGGAAUUUUAGGAAAACGUUUGUAUAAUGUUAUUGAUGUAGUUUAAAUAAAAAAUUUCAUGCCAUUAAAAAAAUGUUCAAUGCGUAUUUAGAAAUGUUUAAUAUUUAUUUGAAGAGAAAUGUUGAAAUAUGUACAUGAAAAAAAUGUUCAUUCGAGAAAUGUUCAACGUAUAUCAAAACAAUGUUACACAUGUAUAUGAAAAUGUACAACGUGUAUUGAUAACAAUUGUCAUGUAUUUGGAAAUAAAGAAAUAAAGGGAAUACAACAAACAAAAAGAGAAAAGAAAACGAAUGGAACAUUGUAAAAUCAGGCAAAACCUGUCUAUACAACGUUCCCUAAACUUCAUUGAUGGCCCGGCUAACUAAGGUGAGGUUGCCCCAGCGCUAGGGGCAAGGCAAGGAUAGGUCUCGCAAUAGGCGAGAAAUGUGGGCGCCCUAUGUCUUGAUUAUAGCGAGACGAAAGGAACCCCCCUGUCAAGGGUUCCAGGUACGUUGGAGGCCACGACCCCAUUUUUUUUUAUCGUUUCUUGCUUUCUUUAUUGUUCUCCUUUAUAUAUUUUGAUUAUACUUCCUACUAUUCUACAUGAAAUAUAUUCUAAAAAAGCUUUUCAUAAAAAAAUGGAAAAAAUAUGUUAACCAAUCGUUUGAAAAAUGUCGAAUGUGUAUAGAGAAAAAUGUUUCUCAUGUAUAAAAAAAAUAUACAAUGUGUGUGAAAAAAGAUGAUUGUGUGUUUUAUUUUAUUAAUAAAUCAUUGGAAAAAAUCAAAACUAUUUGAACUAUGUUAAUCGAGCAUUUGACAGAAAUGUUAUAUGUUAAUUGAACAAAUGUUUAAAAUGUAUGAAAGAUGUUAAUCUUGCAUUUUAAAAACAUUACCCAAGGUUUUAAAAAAUGUUAAAUUUUUGUAAAAAAAGUUGAGCAAGUAAUUGAAAACCUUUAGUCUUGUAUUUACAAAAUGUUAAUCAAGCAUUAGAGAAAUGUUAAAAAUGUGACAGAGAAAAUAUUGAUCUUAUGUUAAAAAAUGUUAAGCUUCUACUUCAAUAAUGCUAUAAAUGUUUUAGAAAAAAGUAUUUGAUAUAUACCAAUAAUGUACAAUGCGUAUGGGAAAAAGUAAACAUUGGAAAAAUAUAAGUACACAAAAAAUGUUAAACAUGUAUUUCAAAAAUCGUAACUGUGUAUAAAAAAUGUUUUAGAUGUAUACAAAAAAUAUUGAAUGUGUACCAAAAGAGUUAACUUGUGUUGAACCAAAAACAAAUGGAUUAAAAUGACAGAAAAAAAAUAAAAAUUAAGAAAACCCAAAACCAAUAAUAAAACAAAAGAAAGUAAAUUAAAAGCCCAAAAAAAUAAUUCAAAAGAAUGGAAAUAGAGAAAACCAAGAAAGAAACAAAGAAAACCAAGAAAUAAAUAAAAGAAAAACAGAAAAAGAAAGAAACUAAAGCAAAAAAGCCACUGAAAACCGAGAAAGAAAGAAAUAAAAACAAAAGCCACUAAAUAGAGAAUGAAAGAAACAUAGAAUACCGAUCGAAAAGCUAAGAAAACAAAAAACGCAAAGAAACAAUGAAAACAAAAAUAAAAAUGAAAAAAUAACACAAAAAACCAAGUGAGAAUCAGCGAACUCAGCGAAAAAGAAACAAAAUCCAGCGAAGGGAAAAAGGAUGAAAAUGGGCCAGUCCAGUAGCUACAACCCGAGGGUAAAACCUUCAACGAGACCUAUGUUAGACUCGCUAUAAAUGAGACAUAACAUCUGCGGAGAAUAGAACUGGAUUGCCACACAGAGACAUCAUUCAUUGAUAAUAAGUUCUCAUGGGCCAAAUUCGGUUGAGUACACAGAUUACUAUUGCGUCUGGCUCUUCCGUGGGUCGGGUCGUCAGCCUGGCAAUUAUGGCCCGUACUCCAAAUUCUAGGGCCCAUCACUACACAGAUUACUAUUACCAAAAAAAGGGUUUCCCCGCUUUGUAUUUCAAAGCAACCAACACCGAUACAGGAUCGCUGGGGCGAACAGCACAACAAGCCCAAAAGAAAAGAAGAAGAAGCAAAUGCCAACAACGCCAGCUCGACAAAGCGCGGAUGACCCGCCACCGCUACGUCCACCAGAGACAAACCACUACAACCCGAGGCUCCGGACCACCGCGUACAAAAUAGCACCUCCAAGAAGGAAAGCGACGCCGACGACGCUGUUGCCCGGACAUGUCCUAGGGUUUCCCCGGCACGCGAAGGGAGGGGGAUGGAUAUCACCGACACCCUCCAGGAAGGAAUGGUGGCACCUGCAGGUGUCACCGCAUCGGGGCCGAAGACCGGCAAGGAUUUCUCCCAUACUCCAAUCCCCACCACCCAACGGACCAAAGCCGACCAGCCAGACCGCCGCCCACCACCAUGCGCCAUCGCGGUUGCGCCGUCGCCCACGCCGUCUCACUGCGAACACCAACACGAGGCCAAGAGGACCGGAGAGAAGCGCCCCGCGGAGGAAGAAGCAGCACCGAAGCCGAACAGGAGGGAACCACCUCCACCGCCGUCGUGCGGGAGGCCGGAGCCUCCGGCACCGUCGCGGUAGCCGUCCGGACGCGGCAGCAGGGCAUGCCAGGCCACCCCUGGCCCGGCCAGGCCCGACACGGGCCCGCUAAGCCCCGCCGCCACGCUGCAGCAAGCCGGCGAUGGUGCCGCCAGCACCCUGCCGCUCAUCGCCUCUCCCCCGCCUCCCGGAAGCCACGAAGCAGACCCACCCCGCCACCGGCCCGCCCAGGCCCAGAUGGGGCCNNNNNNNNNNNNNNNNNNNNNNNNNNNNNNNNNNNNNNNNNNNNNNNNNNNNNNNNNNNNNNNNNNNNNNNNNNNNNNNNNNNNNNNNNNNNNNNNNNNNNNNNNNNNNNNNNNNNNNNNNNNNNNNNNNNNNNNNNNNNNNNNNNNNNNNNNNNNNNNNNNNNNNNNNNNNNNNNNNNNNNNNNNNNNNNNNNNNNNNNNNNNNNNNNNNNNNNNNNNNNNNNNNNNNNNNNNNNNNNNNNNNNNNNNNNNNNNNNNNNNNNNNNNNNNNNNNNNNNNNNNNNNNNNNNNNNNNNNNNNNNNNNNNNNNNNNNNNNNNNNNNNNNNNNNNNNNNNNNNNNNNNNNNNNNNNNNNNNNNNNNNNNNNNNNNNNNNNNNNNNNNNNNNNNNNNNNNNNNNNNNNNNNNNNNNNNNNNNNNNNNNNNNNNNNNNNNNNNNNNNNNNNNNNNNNNNCCCGCAGCGGGCGCCGGCGACGGCGACAGAGAGGAAGUGGGAGAGAGAGGCGCGCGGAGGAGAAGGCUGGGCGCGGCCGGCCGCCCGCGGGGGCGGCGCCGUCGCGGGAGAGGAGAGGAGGGGGGUCCAACCGACCAAAGGCCUCUCUUCUCUUCGUUCACACAGAUUACUAUUGCGUCUGGCUCUUCCGUGGGUCGGGUCGUCAGCCUGGCAAUUAUGGCCCGUACUCCAAAUUCUAGGGCCCAUCACUGCAUGAGACGCCUCCUUCAAAAACCUGAAGAGGAAGCUCCUAACCGCCAGCACCAGUUAGGAGAAAGGCGCCCGCGCGACAUUUGAUCGACAAGCUAAUCAUAUUUAUGUGAUAUAUGUGGGUUUUCUUCGGUUUAUUCCCUGGUAAGACGUGGUGAGAUGUUAAAUCGAUCAGAUGCAUUGUUAGUGGGGAGUGUUCCGUCGUGCAUGACGACCUUUGUAUUGAACGAUCAUGGCAAUGAUUCGACAUUCGUUAGUCGGAAUGUAUGGAAUUAGUUUAAUAUUUUUGAAAAAAAAUAGCUGACUAGAAUAUUUUUCUCAAACACGCCUUCGAGUGUGUCAUUUUCGUCGCGGUCCUCUUUUAUCUACUACUUCGUGCAUCUUUUGUUUGGAGCUCCAUGAUUCUCGUCCAGCUCAAGAAACGCUAUCAAAAAUGUACAUGUGGUUUCCCUAGAAAAAGGUCCUGCAGAAAGCCAGAUACACACACCGACCAGAACCAAUACUCCCUUCAUCCAUAUAUAUGGGGCCUAAUAAUGCGUUUUUUGGGAUCGUCAUUGACUAUUGAUAGGGUUAAUAGUAUAUGAGAUGUAUAAUAUGAAGAUUAUAUUAUUAGAAACUCCGACUACUAGGGAAAACCUUAUACAGAGAACAUUACCAAUAGCGCGGGCUAAAAACACACGCUGGUGCUAAUUAGCAGCAGCGCGGUGUUGUAAACGGCGCUACAGAUAUAGUUAUAGCAGUAGCGCGCCCGAGUACAAAAGCGCUACUACUAAAAUUCCCACGGCUUAGCCGAUAGGCUGCACAUAGUAGUAGCAGCGCGUUUACGCUAAGAGGCGCUGCUGCUAAAGUAAAUAAAAUUAAAUGGAAAACAAAUAGAAAAGUAAAUGAAAAUGAAAGAAAUACAAAAAGGUGAAAGGAAAAAAAUUAUAUGUAAAGAAAAAUAAAUGAAAAAGGGGGGGAAAGAGAAUGGUAUAGCAGUAGCGCGUAUCUAGGAACGCGCUGUAGCUAUGUUAGCAGUAGCGGACUUCCUGGAACGCGCUACUGCUACUUCUGACUAAACCACUCGAUUCGUUUUUCCAAACGGCCACUUCCCCCAAAUCGCAACUCCUCCGCUGUCGCCGCCACCGUCGCCCGUCGGCAGCCGCGCGCUCUCCCGUUGCUCUCCCGCCUCAACGCCGCCCCCGACCCCGGAUUCGACGCCGCCCCCGACCCCGACCUCGACGCCGCCCCCGACCCCGACCUCGACGCCGCCCUCCGCGUGCCCCUCCCUCGCCGCAGUCACCGUAAGGCUCUGCCUCUCCUCUCCCCUACCCUCCUCUCUCUCUCUCUGCUAGGGCAAUUUAUAUAUGUGUUGAUGUUGUGUUGAUGUUCAUAUGAACCCUAGGUGUUCAUAUGAACCCUAGAUUUGUUUAGGGCAGUAGGCAUUUUUUAGCAUUUAGGAAAAAUGAUUAGCAAUUUUUUUAAGAAAUUAGCUAGGGCAAAUUUUUAUGAAAAUGCCUAAACAGUAAUUUCAUUUGCAUAUUGUUGUUAUAUGAUAUAUGUUAUUGAUGUUCAUUUGCAUAUUCCAUUAUUGAAGUGGUUCGAUUGUGCCCAAGUGGCUUUGUUGUUUCCAGGAAAUGAAGCCGAGUGGCCUAUGUUUUGCCGGAAUGUUGAUUAAUUUCCGUUCCAGCAAAUUUCAGGUUCUCGAUUUGUCCACUUUUUAGUAAAAGUCAUGCCGAAAUUUUCCGUGAAUUUCGGCAUGACUUGUGCUACAAACUAGGACAUAUCGAGUGCCCGGGAUUUGCCGCACCGGGAAGGAGUCAACGUUCCUGCAAAGCAUAGGCCUUUUUUAUGUCAUUAUUCAUUUUAUUAGGUAUAGAAUUAAUUGACUAGAUUUAAUCGUAAGAACUAGUUGAAUUAAUAGAACUAGUUGAACAUGUCACAUUUGUUGUUAUUUUUUUAGUUAAAGCAAUUUUUCGCGCAUCAACGUCGACGAUGCCUAUCCCGCAUCCUCGUCGUCGAGUCGGCGGAGGACACCUGCGUCACCAGAUGGGCCAUGUCCGGGACUGGGCUCCGCCGGGGUGGUACUGGGAGGCGCUACCUACCGGGAGGGCGCAUGUUGGUGAGGAGCCAGCCUGUCGUUGAUCCGAACCUUCUUUGGUGGCGGUCGCGUGGGCCAGUGACGGUCCAGAGGCUCGAGGACCCCGCGGAGGUGGUGCGUCACCGUGUCAUUGAGGAGGACGCGCACGUCCGUCGCUACUUGUUUGCGUUGGAGCACAGGUUCUCCAAUACCUGGCAGGUUCUUCAGGGAUCUCACUGGAGCUAUGAUCCUGUGAUGGUUCCUUCUCUUUGGAUGUCCACCGCCCGCGCCGAUACCCGUCGUGCGCUAGGGUUUUAGUUGUAUUAGUGAUGUUAUAUGUAUGAUAUUAUUCGGGAUGUAUUAGUGAUAAUAUUCGACGAUGUACGGACGCAUGAGAUGAUUUACUUUUGCUUAUUGAAUGCAUGCUAAUUUGAAUACUUAUUUAUUUUACGAUUUGGUUUUGCUUAUUGAAUGCUCAUGUCAAUAUGAGUCCUAUAAGAUAUUUUGAGUAUCCUGGAGUUGUCUUCGAUCGAUUUUCAAUUAAUGUUUCAACUAUGAACAUAGGAAAUGUUUGACAACGAAAAGAAUUUCGGUAUUUGCAAAUACUGCAAAGACGAGCGCGGCCUGUGCGACGGAAUCUUCCUAGAUGAUGAUAGGCGCUUCAGCAUCAAGCUGGACGUGAACUUCGAAGUGGAUACAGUAAGUCACAACGACAAGUCUUUUUUCGUAAUUAAGCAUGACAUCUGCUUCAUUUGCUUCAACUUAUAAUUUAAUUUUUUACUAUUCUACUAGCGUAUCCCCUGUCAUGCAAGAGUUUUUGUUUUGGAUAAGAUAGGUUUUAGUCGUACUAUGGAGGCAAAGAAAGUUUACUUGAAGACCGAGCAUGGUUAUAUUUUUCACGCAAAAUUAUACAACGCAGACGACUAUACCUAUUUUGGAUGCAAAACUUGGCGAGCACUAUGCAAGACUUAUGCAUUUGAGCCUGAUAUGGUUAUCACCUUUGAUAUUUGUCCGGAAGAUGAUAUUGAAGGUAAUACCGACAUCUGGGUCGAUGUGCUGACGCCUCCAGUUAUACCAUUAUGUGAGUUUCUCAACCAUAUUUAUGUCUUUGAUAUUGUUUAUUCAAAAAUAGUUGACAACUAAUUUCUAUUGUCAGCUUAUUUCGGUUUAAGCAAACAUGUUCAGCGCUUGGUAGACAGGACCUACUACUGUCCCGGGGCUGAACUAAACUGCGAGGAGCUAAGUCAUUAUGUUUCAUGGCUUGAGGAUUUUGAUACUGUCAAGACAAAUUUUCUUCCCACACUUAGAAAUGUUAGUACUGAAAACGUGCGACCAAUAGUGUUGGUAAUGAACUACGGUCACAUCUAUUUAGGAAAGAUGAUAAGAUUUUUACUAUUUGUCCUUAGUGCAUCUUUUGCAUACAUUAUUUUUUAAGCUAAACUUCAUUGCUAAGUAUGUUACUAUACGAUGUUCUUCAAUAGGGACUCCCGAUGAAUGUUGUGCCUCAUGGGAUCGAGACUAAUGGUACAAUGAGUAUUGUUAGCUUAUGGCCAAGAUAUCCUACAAUGCACUUUAGUGCAUUCAAGAUUUCUAAGAGCGAGGAAGUCUUAAUAGCAAAAGACUGGACCAAAUUUGUGAUGGAGGAGCGCAGAGAAGUACUAGGGGGCAGCAAUCAGAAGCGCAACCCACGAUUAGGAGACAGGUUCAUCUGCAUGCUCCAACUUGAUGAAGGAGGAGAGCUACACAUGUUUUAUAUUAUUUUACCUGAGAAAGAGCAGCAGGAGUGAUUAGCUAGCUAGAAAUGAGUUUGAAGAUGAUGAUGUGCUACACUAUGACUAUGAUGAUUAAAUAGCUAGUGUUGGUGGUAAUGACUAUGAUGAUUAUUAUUAGCUAGUGUUGGUGGUGAUUAGAUAGCUACCGCAUCUAGUGUUGGUGGUGAUUAGCUAGCUAGAAUGACUUUGAAGAUGAUGAUGUGCUACACUAUGACUAUGGUGAUUAAAUAAAUACUGUUGGUGAUAAUGACUAUGAUAAUGAUUAAAUAGCUUGUGUUGGCGGAUUAGAUUCAAGUGGAGGCAACAUGUGGUGCACAUCGAAAGUACUACUGGUCCAAACUAGAUCAAAUUUGGAUUAGUAGUAUACUUUUGACAUACACCACAUAUUGCCUCCACUUAAACCUAAUCCACCUUCAUUUGACACACUGCUAUGGACAUAAUGAUAUAAACCUCAUAAUUGGUAUUGUACCAAAAUUUGUAUAACGGCGUAUAAAUACACUAGAAAUGAAAAAAAGAGUACUAGUAGCGAUGGAUAGUAAACACGCUACAACUAGCUGGAUUAGCAGCAGCGCGGGAUAGAACAAGCGCUGCCGCUAUGUGUCUUAGCAGUAGCGCUUGUCGCACGCACUACUGAUAAGUAAUAGCUGUAGCGCCUUAUUGGUAGCGCGGCUACCCGCGCUACUAGUGGGCAUUAAACCCGCGCUACUACUGGGGUUUUCCCUAGUAGUGUCAUUUCACGUACUCCCUCCGUUCUAAAAUAGAUGACUCAAUUUUGUACUAAUUUUAAUAUAAAGUUAGUAUAAAGUUGGAUCAUCUAUUUUGAAACGGAGGGAGUACGAAUUUGAAGGUAUGCUUUGUGUAAUUAACUUGCAUGUUAUAUAUAAUUGCUCUAAUACGUGGUUAAAGUUGGCCUUAAAAGACGCAUCAGACCCUAUAUAUAUAUAUAUGGAUAGAGAUAGAGGGAGUACAAAACUUCCUCCCGUGUUGCAAAGAUGAUCGACUGCAGCGUAUGCUCUUCGCAAGGCCCUAGGCGAUGAUGAAGGAUGAUAGCUGGUAGUGUAGGAGUAGGAUCCAUGGCAAAGUGUAGCCAAUGCUACUUUCGCGCACUGGCCGGAUUGAUCCGAUCGCCUGCGUUUGUCGCAGCUUGCUACGGGCAAAAGCUGGUCCCGAAAAGGGUUCAAAGCAGUGGGUGCCAUCGGCGAGAACUGGCAGUGACACCGGCAUGCACUGCUUUGCAGUUUUCAAGCAGCCCAGCGACAGGUAGCCAGCACGGCCUGAUCCACACUGCUGCCACAGAUUCGCCAGCGUCUCGAUCUCGGCGCCAUGAUCAGUUGCAGUUUGCAGGUGGCCAUCUCUUUGGAAGACCACGCACGCCCACGCAGAACUAGGUGUAAGAUUGCACCAAGCCCUAUGUCCGUGAGAAAAAGAAGAGGUAAUAGCACCAGCAGUCCUUAAACUUGUCCAGGAUGUGAUGAUCUAGUCCAAAACUAGCAAAAGCCAACUAUUGCAUCCCAUAACUUGCACCCAAUGUGCAAAUUUAGUCCUAGCCAAUCAGACGACGACAAGUGGAGCCUAGUCAGCAGAGCCGGUCAGCGCAUCACAUUUUGCAAUUACCCCCCUGGCCUAUUCACUAACCAGCACGUUUACAGUUUUGUACUCAUGUUGGCCUGCGCUGUGCUGCAAAAACGGCCAUGCGAAAGUAAUAAUUGCAGCAUUCUUUCGAGCAACUGGAUUCAGUCAGGUACACAAUCCCUGGGAUCAUAUGCUUGUCAUCAGGCCAAAGGACGGGUCCUUUUGAGCGCCUCCCAAAUUUUUUGUUAAUAGAUAUCACUAGAAGAUGUAGUGAAAGGCCCUUAUCCUAAUGCUCCUUUUUUUGUAAGCGGAGAGAAUUGUAUCAGUGAAUGAGAAUUCUUUCUUUGUAUAUGCAAAGAUACGGUUAAUUGUUUCAAAGAAACCUGUCUUGUUUGACAUAGUUUUCUG